RNAcentral lists this ribosomal RNA (497 nucleotides) under uncultured bacterium. Its description in RNAcentral is "partial 16S ribosomal RNA". It matches the Rfam family "Bacterial small subunit ribosomal RNA", at positions 28 to 507 of the family's 1533-position model. The record is from RNAcentral.
GAUGAACGCUGGCGGCGUGCCUAAUACAUGCAAGUCGAGCGAACAGACGAGGAGCUUGCUCCUCUGACGUUAGCGGCGGACGGGUGAGUAACACGUGGCUAACCUACCUAUAAGACUGGGAUAACUUCGGGAAACCGGAGCUAAUACCGGAUCAUAUAUUGAACCGCAUGGUUCAAUAGUGAAAGACGGUUUUGCUGUCACUUAUAGAUGGAUCCUCGCCGCAUUAGCUAGUUGGUAAGGUAACGGCUUACCAAGGCUACGAUGCGUAGCCGACCUGAGAGGGUGAUCGGCCACACUGGAACUGAGACACGGUCCAGACUCCUACGGGAGGCAGCAGUGGGGAAUAUUCCGCAAUGGGCGAAAGCCUGACGGAGCAACGCCGCGUGAGUGAUGAAGGUCUUCGGAUCGUAAAGCUCUGUUAGUAGGGAAGAACAAAUGUGUAAGUAACUAUGCACGUCUUGACGGUACCUAAUCAAAAAGCCACGGCUAACUACGUG